Long non-coding RNA from Etheostoma spectabile (orangethroat darter), 743 nucleotides. RefSeq lists it as uncharacterized. The record is from RefSeq and is a predicted model, not a curated record. The transcript is spliced from 4 exons. Lineage: Eukaryota; Metazoa; Chordata; Actinopteri; Perciformes; Percidae.
CUUUGAGAUGAACCCGUUUCCAUCGCGGUCAAACACUUUGAAGGCCUCACGGAUCUCUGCAAAGAAGACAAACACACACAAGCUGAAGUCACAAAGAAGUGCAGGAUAUAAAGCUGCAAGUUUUCGUCAUCACAGCCGAUAUCAAGUUGAGGCGACGCCAAUAUUCACAGAGCAAAACCUGCAAAAAGCACCUCAAACAAAGGUAAUAAAGUCUGCUGGAUCCACUCCUUCAUGGCAAUCGAUCAAAACGGGAAUAAAUGCCUCAACUUCAACCUACCCGACAGAGAGAGUUGGAUGACAAGAAGGACAUCCCACUUUUAUCUGUAAAUAUGAAGCAGACAUGAGCAGCUUGUCACUGUAGCUUAGCUUAGCACAAAGAAUAACAGGGGGAAACAACUUGCCUGGUUCUGUCUAAUGGUGACAAAAUCUUUUUUGUGGAAGCAUGUUGAACAACAAUGUACCAAACUCCGCUAUCCAGCUACCAGGCCUGCUAAUCCUUCCGAGCAGACUAGCGGAUGUAAGCUAUGUAAACACGGACACGUACUGGUGAAGAAAUGGGGUGCUUGCAUCCAACUACUUCCAACCACUGGUGGAGUUUGUGACUGUUAAAUGCUGACCAUUCUGCAUCCAACACAAAAUUUGAGGCUGUGUUUAUACUUGAUGUUCACAUCACUCCAAGCACUAAUGCUAACAAUGCGUUAGUUGAACUUUACGGAGCCUAUAAUGUGUUUGCACUAAAUGUA